CAAAGGAGACUGCCAGUGAUAAACUGGAGGAAGGUGGGGAUGACGUCAAGUCAUCAUGGCCCUUACGACCAGGGCUACACACGUGCUACAAUGGCGCAUACAAAGAGAAGCGACCUCGCGAGAGCAAGCGGACCUCAUAAAGUGCGUCGUAGUCCGGAUUGGAGUCUGCAACUCGACUCCAUGAAGUCGGAAUCGCUAGUAAUCGUGGAUCAGAAUGCCACGGUGAAUACGUUCCCGGGCCUUGUACACACCGCCCGUCACACCAUGGGAGUGGGUUGCAAAAGAAGUAGGUAGCUUAACCUUCGGGAGGGCGCUUACCACUUUGUGAUUCAUGACUGGGGUGAAGUCGUAACAAGGUAACCGUAGGGGAACCUGCGGUUGGAUCAC
Molecule: ribosomal RNA, 387 nt
Filed under: Escherichia coli
Lineage: Bacteria; Pseudomonadati; Pseudomonadota; Gammaproteobacteria; Enterobacterales; Enterobacteriaceae
Also listed under: 1 other name
Description: bacterial SSU rRNA
Rfam family: Bacterial small subunit ribosomal RNA
Source: RNAcentral